AUUUUCGCCAUGGGGGGCAGCCCUGCUCCAGUCAUCCCGCGUGAGCGAUGAAGGCCAUCGGUUUUUAAAGCACUUUUUGCAGGGUAGACAUGGCUGUGGCUAAUACCUGCAGCUGCGGACGGUCCCUGCAGAAUAAGCACCGGCUAACUACGUGCCAUCAGCCGCGGUAAUACGUAGGGUGCAAGCGUUAAUCGGAAUUACUGGGCGUAAAUCGUGCGCAGGCGGUUCGGCAAGAAGGAUGUGAAAUCCCAGGGCUUAACCUUGGAACUGCAUUCUUAACUGCCGGGCUAGAGUAUGACAGAGGGGGGUAGAAUUCCGCGUGUAGCAGUGAAAUGCGUAGCGAUGCGGAGGAAUACCGAUGGCGAAGGCAGCCCCCUGGGAUAAUACUGACGCUCAUGCACGAAAGCGUGGGGAGCAAAC
This 420-nucleotide ribosomal RNA is filed under the name uncultured bacterium. Its description in RNAcentral is "partial 16S ribosomal RNA". It matches the Rfam family "Bacterial small subunit ribosomal RNA", at positions 361 to 773 of the family's 1533-position model. The record is from RNAcentral.